This is a non-coding RNA of Paramuricea clavata, 3208 nucleotides long. Lineage: Eukaryota; Metazoa; Cnidaria; Anthozoa; Malacalcyonacea; Plexauridae. The record is from the annotation of a GenBank genome assembly.
CUGGAGGACCUGCUCCUAUACUUCGUUCAGUCAACGAAGUGUCCGCAAAAACAUGGCGGAUUUUGAGUGAAAAUGACGCCAUUUCCAUGACUACUGGUCACUGAGCUAUAAUAUAUCUGGAGGAAGUGCUCCUAUCUCUCUUCAGUCAAGCAAGUGAAGCCAAAAACAUGGCGGAUUUUCAAGGAUUUUCACGUUUGCUGACGCCAGAAUGACGCCACUGGUCCCAAAUCCUCGUGGUAAUUACCACUGAGCAAGGCUCAUUUUGAGCCCGCUACCACUUUCUCAUCCCCCUGAUUUUCACAAAAAUAUUUUAGCUUUUUGUUUUGAAGUUUGCCUUGGUGUUUGCCUUCUCUUCGACAUAUUUUUAACAUUUGUAACAAGUGGUAAGAAUCAUCCUGGCUAGUGAAAGACAGGGAACGAAUAUUCAAACCUCAAGAAAUUUUGGAAAGACGUUAUUUGUAAAGGUAAAAAAAUACUGUUUAUAUGUUCAAUAUUAAUUUGUGAUAGAGUAUGUCAAAACAAAGCGAAAUAAACAGCCCAUUUGUACUGUGUAGUGGACAAUUUUAGCAACUGAUGUAUACAAUUAAGUUGCCCAAACUAUAUUAAUACGAGAAACAGUCUUCCUCGAAAGAAAAUGGUUGAAAUUUCAGAUUUUAGUUUCAUUUGUUAUUUCAAAUUUUACGAUAUAAAAUGCCAGUCGACCACCAUCUGCUUCAUGAUCAUACUUAUUAAAAUUAAAGUGGUUUCUAUUAUAUUAGUAUACCUAUAGAGGAAGACCUUUUUAAGCCAGAACUAUCAUGGCUUGGCUUUGAAUGAUUUAAUCCAUGUACUUUAUAACUGGCCACUUAUAUGGCAAUGAAAUUAUAAUGACUAAUGUGUAGAAUUAUCAAGUCUAGAUCCAAAAAUUGGCAGUUUCAUAUAUAAGAUCAGGCAUAUAUAAGAUCAAAGCUAUUUUCAUAUAUAAGAUCAGGUUUAGAGGCCUGUAGCAUUUUCUCUAGAAAUUGCAUGAGUAAAAUCAAUUUCAUAAUUAACCCGUUGAGCCGCAAUGCGCCCUACUUAUUUUUUUACUUGCCAGAUGAUUUUACUUGUCAAUGGGGAAGCUCUGCAGCUUAUCGGUUAACCAAAAAAAACUGACAAUGUCUCUAGUUAACCUAUUGAGCCGCAAUGCGCCCUAGUGUGCCCUACUUUUUUUUUACUUUCUAAAGCCAGACAAUAUUACUCGUCAAUGGGGAAGCUCUGCAGCUUAGUGGGUUAAUUAGAAAAUGAACCAUUCUUGACAUUCACUCAUGAUAUUUGAUGUUGGUAAUUCAUGUAUUUUUGGAGGAAAAUAUUUUAGACAGUGGUUGUUUGCCUCACACCAAACCCCAAUAUUUACAUGCUAUUUGUCUAAGUGAACUAUUUUCCUCAUUUUCAACAUGCCAAAGUGAUACAAAAUAAAUUUCAGUUAAAUUCAAGGAGGUCCUCGGGCCCGUAAGUUGUCAACUGACGACUAUCACCUUCAUUGUUAGUUAAGCAUAUAUCUGCUUAAGUCCUGGGUUCAAAUGAGUGGAAUUUCAAGAGCAUUCUGACUGGCUUUGUGCAAACAGGGGGCCUUACCGGUUAGGAUGAGGGCCAGUUGAGGUGUUAGGGUUGGGUGCAGGCAAGGUUCAUGUAAACUUAUUGUUAGCAAGAAUCAGAGAAGGAUUUUCAUAUUUUUGUUCGGGGGGGGGGUAAAUAUCUGGGGGGGUGAUGCUGCUUGCUUUGGCCGGGGCAACGCCUGGAAAGGCCAAGGAAAAAGUUUAACAAAAUUUGUUUUCUAUGUCUGCAUGGCAAGAUCUGAGACCAUAAUAUUGGUAAUUUUACAAAUUUAGUAGUAAGAAUAAUCAAAUAUGAAACUAUCAAAUCAAAAUAUAUAUAAUUUGUGGGGGUGCAAAAACUUUGGGGGGCAGUGCCAAAUGCCUCUUGGGGGGGGGGGGGGUUUGCAAAUAAUUUCUGUGGUACACCCCCCCCCCCCAGAAAAUCUGUGCCUGGCAAGAAUGUUAUGUGUACAUAAUCAUGUGUAAUGUUGUUUGGAUUAAUUGCAUUUAAACGUUGGAAUCCAGUGUCGAACAGUAACCACAACAAUUAUUAUAUAAAGUAUUUGGUUGUUUUAGUGUAAUAUUAAUUUCUCACAUAUUUUUUUCAGAAAUAAAGCACCAUUGAGCAACUUGUUGGGAAAGAGGAGUCACAAACUGUUGAUGAAUAUAUUUAAUUAACUACACAUAAAAUACAAUUUUAUUAACAGUAUAUUGAUUUAUGGGUUUAUUAGACCACAUUAUUUUCAUAUUAUUAAUAAUGAAAAAUAAAAUUAACAAAUAAAUUACAAAAUCAGUGUGAAAAUAUUGCAAUAAUCAAUUAAAAUGUCAAACCAGCCAAUUGUUUCAAAUUAUAGCUGUUAUCGUAAUUGAAUAUGUCUAUGCUAUGGACCAGUGGUAUCUGCAUUAUUUUAACAUCGAGACGAGGCUAUAGGGUCAUGUUUUGUGUUUUUUUACCCUUUAGCCUUGUUUUUGUCCGUACUUCCACUGAGAUACCGCUGGUUCGCCACAGCGGGUAUUCAAAUACGAUAACAGCCAUUAUGCAUUUGUGAGUGUAACCUAACCCCCUCCCCCCUGAGAGAACAAGAGAGUUGCUGUGGGCCCCUAUUAUCCCUUUUGAUAAGUCAGGCAAUCCACCACAUAAUUUUCCUUUCAAAUGCCAGACGAAUAUACUUGUCAAUGCAAGGGGAGAGCUUUGGCACUCUAUGGGUUGACCAGUAUAUGCCUAUGCAUCCUGUUAAGCCUUUGAUAAGUCUGAAUGCAACACAAUGCACCCUACUUUAUUAUUCUGUCUAAUGGCAAAUUUUAUUUGUGAAGGGGAGAGUGCUGAAUGAGUUGACCUGCACCCUGAUGUGCCCUACUUUUAGUAUUUUACUCUGUCUUAUGCCAGAGUAUUUUACUCUGUCUAACGCCAGAUGAUUUUACUCAUCAAGUGGAGAGUGCUGCCCCUCGAUGGAUGGAUGAAUGGAAUAUUAUACUAAUUGCUUUGAACAAAGGUGAUUCCCUUUAUAGCCUGCUCGCAGCCUGAAAUUAAUUUAGAAGGGGAAAAUUUCCCCUUCUAAAUUUCAGGCUGCGAGCAGGCUAUUCCCUUUGUGGCAUAAAAUUUAACCAGGGCAUUCUUCAAGUUUUCAACACAUCUCAGGAUUUUUCUUGGC